Molecule: non-coding RNA, 5206 nt
Organism: Paramuricea clavata
Lineage: Eukaryota; Metazoa; Cnidaria; Anthozoa; Malacalcyonacea; Plexauridae
Source: the annotation of a GenBank genome assembly
AUUUCUGCUCGAGGCAUUGAGGCGUCAUUCUGACUCGAAGUUUAGGAAAGUACACAUUAAAGUUGGUGCAAAACAUCGCUUUUAUGAAACGUUUUCGAAAUAAAAUCGUUAUGCCAUGCAGAGGGAAAGGUCAGUAUUAAGUUUAGCUAUUUUUUAGUUGUACUUGUUAAGUUAUAUUGCUGUUAUUAAAACACGUGUCUAUAUUCAUUGUAGUACGUAUUCAAUUUCAUAUUCCCAUUCAAGCGCUUCGUUUCAUUGCUCAGUCACUUUAUUUUCUCAGUGUCUCUCCCUAAUUUCCUAGCAGUAAUGUUCAGAAAUACCCCAGCAUUGAUUUAUUUAACUCAUAUUUAGUUUAUCUGCAAUUUCAGGGCGAAAAUUUGAAGAGAAAAGUGAACUAAUUUAAGUCGCCGACAUGGUCGAAAUGCCGAAGCACUUGGUAAGCAUAAUGUCCAUUAAAGGCGUUUCCUUGUUUGUUUCUCGUUUUCAAGCUUUCCCAAUACACCUAGCCCCUAGGACGUCUUCUAGCAUUGCUUUGUAGCCUUUUGAACACUCUGAGUCAAGUUUAGUUACAAUAUUAGUGAAACGUUUGUCCAUAAUUACCGAGCGAAUUACCGACUUAUUUUAGGUGCCAUGGUCAAUUUCACAUGCAGGCGUGGCAUAUUUUUGAACGUUUUAGCUUUUACAAACUUUUCGUUUAUGUACAAAUUGUUUUCUGAGAUCUAGAGGAAACGCUAAGCCUUUUGAGUUUCUUGAGGGUUGUCCAAGUUGAAUUUCAUCCAAUAUUUUUGGGAAAUUUAGAGAUGAAAUGUCCUCGUGGUUCAUGCCCUAAUUUUAUGCAUAGAUGCACGCAUUCUUUAAAAUUAAAAUAAAUUGAAUUGGACAACCGCACCCUGUGUAAAGACAUUAAAGAACUCUUUGCUGUUUUGAAACUAACAAUUCGUUGUCCAAUUAUUUAGACUGCCUCAAAGUUGAUCAUUUCGAUGGCAAACAGUACAGAAAGACCUCUGCACAGAUUUGAAGAGAAGCUCGCUUAGCAGUUGAAGCAAAACGAGAAAGACGAGAAGCCAAAGGACUUAAGGACAAAUGAGACCAGCCGCCAGCUCCGAUUCCUUUGUGGACUCACGGCAUUCAUCGUCGCAUAUCGUCUACAGUGCAAAGUUAAGGAAGAGAUUGAACUCAUCAGAGAUUGCACAAAGACCGUAACGAAAUCAUAUGAUAACAUACCCGGGACUGUCUGCCGUACCAUCCAGAGACCAUAACCAAUACGCCAUACCAUCGCCAAAGAUGUUGCCCAUUGCAGAAGGUAUAUAUUUCUCUCGUGAUUCUCGUUGUGCGUGUUCGAAAUUACGUAGGGACCACCCUGAAGACGCCCAAAUGCACAAAACAAAUUUAAAUAUGGCACAUUUUCCUUAAUUUCGCAAUUUAUUCAAAUUUUCUAUAUUUCUUGGUAUUUGUGAAAAGCUCUUGACGAAAUCAAAAUGUUUGAAAUUCGGAAGUUUCCAUCUGGGAGUUUGUUUAUCUGAAAGAUAUUUGAAAUGAAAUUUCGAAGUUUACAUCACUUUGGUAUUUGGUUUAAACGCUAGGUAAAAUCAUGCCAGAUGAGUGGUCGAUCAUUCGUCGAAGUUCGGUGAUACUUCGGCUCGGACUUUCCAGACCUAUAGUUGAGUUGCUCUGAUCGAUUGUCGUGAUCAACUAGCGCAAAUGUAAGGUCUGGCCAACCUUGUGUUUGUGCUUUUUGUUCGUGGCAUGAGAUUGGGACAGCUCGCCUGUAGGCCUGGAAAGAUCAAGCCGAAGUACCACCAAACUUUGAUUUGUGGCCGGCUUUUUGUCUGUAUGGCUUUAUCCAGUGUUUUCCCGUUAUCAUUUUGAUGUUGACUUUGGGAUUUCGGCUUGAAUAUCUUUAAUAUAAACAUUCUUUGAGGUUUAAUCUUUCAAGAAUUUCAUGGGUUUUGACUAGUUAAUGUGUUUUUCGUAGAUACUAUAAUUGUAUUAAAAAUAUCGACCAAAAAAAAUUUAAAACUGACCAAAACGUCAUUUGAGGUGUCGGAUGGGAGGUCCAGUGAGAGUCGUAGCGGAUACCAAAGGAUAAAUACGGAUUACUGUGACACUGUGCGCUAUUGGAGAUAUUGUGAACAUUUAUGGAUAAUUGUGAACAUUAAUGGAUUACAACGAACACUUGUGGAUUAUUAUGAACAUUUGUGGAUAAAAUUGCCUCUCGAUCGACGGUUACCUACCAAUGUACCUUGACGACGAAAGCUGCACGACAGCAACGAGAUGACUGCCUCAAGGUUAGAGGGUUUAGUCUGAUAACAAGCAGUAGUUAGCUUGUUAUCAGACAGUAGUUAGCCUGCUAUCAGGCAGUCAAGUUAGCCUGCUAACAGGCAGUAUAUUUGUAGGAUUCAUACCCAAGACUCUAAUUUGCAUGUGGUCGGUGAAGUCUCUGGGUUAACCGGUUUAAAAUUCCUGGCGGUCUGUGGUUAGUAGUACAUUUGCACGCAAGGUUGACUUUUAUUCGGAUGUUUGCAUGCUAAUAAAAAAUGAGAUAUUGACCUCAGUUAAUCAGAAUUUCGACAUCAUCUGAAUCGAAAGUCAAUCUUAAGAGGUUAACAUUUGAGCUUCCGGUCACGUGGUUCUUUGCAUGCACUCGGUUCGGUUACUGGUGGGUUUCAGUAAGUGUUACAAUCCAGACGAUGGAGAAAUUUAUUUGUUUCAAGUACUUCCUGGAGCAAUUUAUUUGCUUCAAAUACAAGACUACUACAUAAAGUGAAAAGGAGUGAACAUUAUUUUUUCACUCCAGUAACUCGUAGUGAGACCCACUAGCUAUUUACAGUCUGUUCGUGCCAAUGUUGUUCUCUUUGUGUAAAUGUACUGCUUAGGUGUCUCCGUGUCUGUGCAUGAACGCAACGCGCAACUAGUAUCCAGAGUAUAGGCAAACAAGUAAAACUUUGACAGACUUUAAAAUCUUGUUUAUAUCGAUGUGUUACGUUCAUAAAUGUAUAGAAAUAUCAUGAAAUGUGUUAGGCUUUGGCUUGGGGUUAAAUCUAACCCUAGAACCUUGACCUUAAUCCAUUACAUGAUCUGUAUAUUUGUGUGCGUAAUAUAUGGGUGUGGCCAAAAUUUUGUUGAAAAGCUGGCAUAGUUUUCCUUCGGUAGGAUAACUAAACUGGGUGCAAAUGGUAUCCAUAGCUUAGAGGGUGCAAAUGGUACCCGUAAGAAGAUUGGUGGAUAUUUCUGGACAUGAUUUUUUGAAAGAUGUGGAUUCUCCCCGGGUACUCCGGUUUCCACCUACAGAAAGAUCAGCUUAGGACUGUAACGACAUAAGUAUUGUAAAUCUAAAUAGUCUAGGCUUUACUGAAUAAUAAAGUUAAUUGCGUGGUUUCAUCGCCCGUAGUGCAUGUAUAUCGCUGGUUUCGAACGUUAGUUUUCUGCCCGAGUUAUAUGAAAACAGUUCGCUACCAGAGAUUAGGUUCCCUCUCUGUUAUGGCGGCUCGACGAUGGAAGACAUUAACAUAAGGCAUGCAAACCUUACCCCUGUUUGUGGAAGCUCAUCAGGUGCAACCGGCACACACUAGGUUAAGUUAAGUUAAGUUAAGUUAAGCUAGGGGCAUGACCGAGAUUCCACAUUUGGGGGUUUCCCUUGCAGGUUUUUGAACGGGUAUAUGCGCGCGCGCACUAGUUAGGAAGGUUAGGCAGAUAGAAAUAGGGCGCUUUGCGGCAUGUAUACUAUAAGGCAUGUUUACUAUAAUUCAUUAUCAUCAUAAUUUUGCGCCAGUAACAUUCUGAGAAGUAUUUAACACAGCAGGAAAAUGGAACUGUUUUCCUGUUGAAAAAUACUUACAGAAUCAAUUCAAAGUGGAAAAAAGAAAAUAUUGCGAAAAAGAGAAAUAAAAAAGAAAAUAUUGCGAAAAAGAGAAAUAAAAAAUAUUGCGAAAAAGAGAAAUAAAAAAGAAAACCGCGAAACCACUUUGAAUAUAAGCAACAAUAGUCCAAGAAUACUUGUUGCAGAAAAAACACAACAAAAAAGAAACAAUUUUCUGCCAAGAUAUCUUGGAUUAGGAGCUUAACGAUAAGAAACGUAGUUCUCGUUCCAAAGUGGAGAAUAGGCUCGUUUCUUUAGGUUGCUAAUGCAUUGCGCGCGCGCUUUAUAAAUUGUACUAUAAGUUUUCAGCCGAAAAGACCGCCAGGAAAAAUAGUGUUUUCACGUGUUGCUUUGUUGACGGACAAGUAUUUUAAAAUAAUGGUUUUCUUGUUAACUUGUAUUUCGGCACUUUAACUUGUUCCCAAACAUAGCCGCCGUGAAAACACUCUGCAGAUCAAGUUUAUAUAUGGUCAGCGACAUAGAAUGUUUGCCAUGUUGCAUUCCGUGUUGUCUUACAUUCAUACAUAAGCUUGGUCGAACCAUGGAUCAUAAAAAAACACCAUGGUCGUGCGCAGCUAAUUAACAUAAGCGGCGCGCGCGGCGCGUGCUGCUGUAAUGCGGAGUACAGUCGGUGAGUGUACUCCAUGUGCAAAUAGUGACGUUGUGCUCUAUAUAGUCUUGACUUGAAAUAUAAAUUAAGGUGCAUGUUGAUUAGAAUUAAGUGCGCAACGUUUCAUGCAAACAAAAUUAAACGCGCUCAGAUGCAUGCUUAGUACAAUUAAGGGCAUGAAAACCAGUGCAUGCUAACUUAAAUUGAGUGCGCGCGUUGCAAUUUUCUUGCGCGCGAUAAAGCAAAAUGCGGCAAAAAUCUAAAAUAUAGAAAUGCACACAUCACAUCUUUAAAAUGCACCCAAGUGUCCUAAUAGCUUUUACAAACUAUUGUCAAAUAUGUUGGGCCAUUGGAUUCAUUUGCCACGCACCUUGUCCUGAACAUAUCUGAAAUAUUUUCAAGUUUCAAGGUUAAGAUAAAUAUACCCUUACAUGGAACAAUUUGUUAAUAAAAAGAGGCAUAUUUGUCUUGCGCAAUCUGUAGACUGAAUUUUUCGGGUGGUCUACAAUUUUUUUUGUUGACAUCUCGUGAGAUUUUUUUUAUUUGGAUUUUUUUUUGCAAGAUAUUUACUUUUCUGGAUUUUGGUAGGUAUUGGUAGGUAUUGGUAGGUAUGGUAUAUAUUAUAGUUAAUUCGGUCACACUAGGGUUGGGUUUUCGGAAUCCGGACUCGUAAUCACCAAGGUUUUUCACCAGAUCCUCUGGUUUUCCUCGGGUGAUUACGUAAUUUUUCGUUUGGC